GGCUCCAGUGCUGGGAUAGCUCAGUCAGUAGAGCAUGAGGCUCUUGAUCCCAGGGUCAUGGGUUCGAGCCCCGUGUCGGCCA
Molecule: transfer RNA, 82 nt
Filed under: Podarcis lilfordi (Lilford's wall lizard)
Lineage: Eukaryota; Metazoa; Chordata; Lepidosauria; Squamata; Lacertidae
Description: tRNA.Lys
Rfam family: tRNA (bases 10-81)
About the family: Transfer RNA (tRNA) molecules are approximately 80 nucleotides in length.
Source: RNAcentral